GACGAACGCUGGCGGCGUGCUUAACACAUGCAAGUCGAACGGAAAGGCCUGCUUUCCCUUGUGGAUUGCGGGUACUCGAGUGGCGAACGGGUGAGUAACACGUGAGUGAUCUGCCCCCAACUUGGGUAUAAGCCUGGGAAACUGGGUCUAAUUCCCGAUAGGACUGCAGGGUGGUGCCUGUGGUGGAAAACGAUUUUCUAGUGGUUGGGGAUGAGCUCGCGGCCUAUCAGCUUGUUGGUGGGGUAAUGGCCUACCAAGGCGGCGACGGGUAGCCGGCCUGGGAGGGUGGACGGCCACAUUGGGACUGAGAUACGGCCCAGACUACUACGGGAGGCAGCAGUGGGGAAGAUUGCACAAUGGGCGGAAGACUGAUGCAGCGACGCCGCGUGGGGGAUGACGGCCUUCGGGUUGUAAACUCCUUUCGACCGCGAGGAAGCCACCUGGUUGGAAGGGUGGUGACGGUAGUGGUAGAAGAAGCACCGGCUAACUACGUG
This 494-nucleotide ribosomal RNA is filed under the name uncultured bacterium. RNAcentral describes it as "partial 16S ribosomal RNA". It matches the Rfam family "Bacterial small subunit ribosomal RNA", at positions 28 to 507 of the family's 1533-position model. The record is from RNAcentral.